This is a non-coding RNA of Ostrea edulis (European flat oyster), 74 nucleotides long. The record is from the annotation of a RefSeq genome assembly. Lineage: Eukaryota; Metazoa; Mollusca; Bivalvia; Ostreida; Ostreidae.
GGCCAGAUAGCUCAGUUGGUAGAGCACCUGACUAGGGAUUCAGGGGGUCUGGGUUUCGAAUCCCGGUCUGGUCC